RNAcentral lists this ribosomal RNA (460 nucleotides) under uncultured bacterium. RNAcentral describes it as "partial 16S ribosomal RNA". It matches the Rfam family "Bacterial small subunit ribosomal RNA", at positions 338 to 795 of the family's 1533-position model. The record is from RNAcentral.
CCUACGGGGGACAGCAGUGAGGAAUAUUGGUCAAUGGACGAGAGUCUGAACCAGCCAAGUAGCGUGAAGGAUGACUGCCCUAUGGGUUGUAAACUUCUUUUAUAUGGGAAUAAAAUGUUCCACGUGUGGGAUUUUGUAUGUACCAUAUGAAUAAGGAUCGGCUAACUCCGUGCCAGCAGCCGCGGUAAUACGGAGGAUCCGAGCGUUAUCCGGAUUUAUUGGGUUUAAAGGGAGCGUAGGUGGAUUGUUAAGUCAGUUGUGAAAGUUUGCGGCUCAACCGUAAAAUUGCAGUUGAAACUGGCAGUCUUGAGUACAGUAGAGGUGGGCGGAAUUCGUGGUGUAGCGGUGAAAUGCUUAGAUAUCACGAAGAACUCCGAUUGCGAAGGCAGUUCACUAGACUGCAACUGACACUGAGGCUCGAAAGUGUGGGUAUCAAACAGGAUUAGAUACCCUUGUAGUC